UACAGGGGGUGCAAACGUUGCUCGGAAUCAUUGGGCGUAAAGCGCACGUAGGCGGUUCGUUAUGUCGGAUGUGAAAGCCCUUGGCUUAACCGAGGAAGUGCAUCCGAAACUGGCGAGCUAGAGUACGAAAGAGGAUCGCGGAAUUCCCGGUGUAGAGGUGAAAUUCGUAGAUAUCGGGAGGAACACCGGUGGCGAAGGCGGCGAUCUGGGUCGAUACUGACGCUGAGGUGCGAAAGCGUGGGGAGCAAACGGG
This 253-nucleotide ribosomal RNA is filed under the name uncultured bacterium. RNAcentral describes it as "partial 16S ribosomal RNA". It matches the Rfam family "Bacterial small subunit ribosomal RNA", at positions 524 to 776 of the family's 1533-position model. The record is from RNAcentral.